GACGUAGGGGGCGAGCGUUGUCCGGAUUCACUGGGCGUAAAGCGCGCGUAGGCGGCUCGUUAAGUCGGAUGUGAAAACCCGGGGCUCAACCCCGGGCCUGCACCCGAUACUGGCGGGCUGGAGGAAGGUAGGGGAGAGUGGAAUUCCCGGUGUAGCGGUGAAAUGCGCAGAUAUCGGGAGGAACACCGGUGGCGAAGGCGGCUCUCUGGGCCUGUCCUGACGCUGAGGCGCGAAAGCUAGGGGAGCAAACAGG
RNAcentral lists this ribosomal RNA (253 nucleotides) under uncultured bacterium. RNAcentral describes it as "partial 16S ribosomal RNA". It matches the Rfam family "Bacterial small subunit ribosomal RNA", at positions 524 to 776 of the family's 1533-position model. The record is from RNAcentral.